CCUACGGGAGGCAGCAGUGGGGAAUAUUGCACAAUGGGCGCAAGCCUGAUGCAGCCAUGCCGCGUGUGUGAAGAAGGCCUUCGGGUUGUAAAGCACUUUCAGCGAGGAGGAAGGUGGUGAACUUAAUACGUUCAUCAAUUGACGUUACUCGUAGAAGAAGCACCGGCUAACUCCGUGCCAGCAGCCGCGGUAAU
Molecule: ribosomal RNA, 194 nt
Filed under: uncultured bacterium
Lineage: Bacteria
Description: partial 16S ribosomal RNA
Rfam family: Bacterial small subunit ribosomal RNA
Source: RNAcentral